This is a long non-coding RNA of Onychostoma macrolepis, 374 nucleotides long. RefSeq lists it as uncharacterized. Lineage: Eukaryota; Metazoa; Chordata; Actinopteri; Cypriniformes; Cyprinidae. The transcript has 3 exons. The record is from RefSeq and is a predicted model, not a curated record.
AGUGGCAGCAGUAAAAAGGGGGGUCAGAGCAGCGUUCCCAGGAUAAAAGAGCUGGGCUAAGGGCUCCUCUCAAUCACUGGGCCCUCCAGGAGCUGUGAUCAGGAGUGAGCUUUUUCAUCGCCCCUGGGGAGGCUGCGGGACUUCGGUCAGCCAUAUGGUGUGAGUCCCCUGCCCCUCCCUCAAUCACAGCCCUGGAGGAGCGGCCUGAUGAGGCUGGAUCAGACCCACCGCUUCCUGAUGGAGAGGACAGCCCUGACUCGACACAGCAAAGAGACAGCCAGGACUACAACAGCUGUUGUCACGUGUGGUGUGCAGAGUAUCAGUCGGAUGUCACUCGGUGAGGUACUAGCUGAGGUUGAAAGGCUUAGAGUAAG